AAAAAAUCCACGUCCAGCCCAAUCUGAGCCUUAUAAAAGGUACCUGGGUCUAGACCUGAUUUGUCUGCACUGAGCGAAUCUGAGAGCUCUGCAAUCAUGAAGCUUAUUCUUGCUGUGCUGGUGCUGGUUUUGCUGGUUGAGACCCAGGCGCAAUGGCACCGCUUUCCAGGACAAGCCGUUGGAGGUACAAAGGACAUGUGGCG
This is a long non-coding RNA of Labeo rohita (rohu), 203 nucleotides long. RefSeq lists it as uncharacterized. The transcript is spliced from 3 exons. The record is from RefSeq and is a predicted model, not a curated record. NCBI's taxonomy places the organism in Eukaryota, Metazoa, Chordata, Actinopteri, Cypriniformes, Cyprinidae.